Molecule: unclassified non-coding RNA, 913 nt
Filed under: Hevea brasiliensis (rubber tree)
Lineage: Eukaryota; Viridiplantae; Streptophyta; Magnoliopsida; Malpighiales; Euphorbiaceae
Source: RNAcentral
UUAUUAUUAUUUUUUUCUUUUAUGUUUUCAUAUUCAAACAAAAGAAGAAAGAAUAAGGCAAAAGAAGGAAUUAUUACAUAAAAUCCAUUAAACCACCUUUGAAAUAAAUAUUACAAAAUUUUUAUAAGAUGAGGUUUUAUGUACAAGUUGAUGCAAAACAAUAACCAAGCCUUAAUCCCAAACAAGUUGAUGAAAAAAAAAAAAACUAUCAAAAUCUCCCAAAUUGCAUUUUCUUCUUCUUAUUCUCUCUCACCCUUCCUCUUCCUCUUAGUUUAAAAGCAUGGUUGAGGCUGAGAAAAUCUAAAAUCCAGGCAAAACUGAGAGGUCUGCUAUACCUCUUGGCAGAUCAGAAAUUUUCUUCAGCAAAGCAAGCCUGUUCUGUCUAAUUCUUUCAUCCUCCUGAUGCAAAGAUGGAAUGGAUCAAUUGAUUACCAACAAAUAAAGCUGUUAAAAAUUAAAAUGAAAUAAUGCAAUUGAUCAUGUAAGAAAAACCAUGAAUAAAUAAUAAUCUCUCACAGCACCUUGCAUGGGUAAACUAAUACCCUGUCCUUUAUCCAGCACUCAAGUAUUUACAACUCUAUUAGCAAGAGCACUCAACAAACUUGCAGAACCAACAUUCAUAGACUCCUCAACCUCAAAAUAAUAAUUAUCAAUGAUUCAUUGUUAAUAGUCACUUGCAGCGGUAAAAAACCUACUUAAAACGCACCUUUAUUUGUCAGGGACCAAUUUAACAUAUUUUCUUACUUUAUCAUUAAUGUACCAACUCAACUUAUAAUUAUUAUUGUCAUAUUUUUUUGGCUGAGGAAAUUGCAACCGUAACAGGAUCAGUUCUAGUUCCUUUCCUAGAGCUGAUAGCUAUAAGGUGUUGGGGAAUUUACCAACUUUGCAUUAUGCAAGUCAAUAAGAAUCCAAA